Molecule: ribosomal RNA, 422 nt
Filed under: uncultured bacterium
Lineage: Bacteria
Description: partial 16S ribosomal RNA
Rfam family: Bacterial small subunit ribosomal RNA
Source: RNAcentral
AAUAUUUGACAAUGGGGGCAACCCUGAUCCAGCCAUGCCGCGUGUGUGAAGAAGGUCUNCGGAAUNUNAAGCACUUUAAGUUGGGNAGAAGGGCUUUAGGUUAAUACCCUGAAGUUUUGACGUUACCAACAGAAUAAGCACCGGCUAACCCUGUGCCAGCAGCCGCGGUAAUACAGGGGGUGCAGGCGUUAAUCGGAAUUACUGGGCGUAAAACGGGGGUAGGUGGUACAGGAAGAGGGGGGUGAAAACCCCGGGCUAAACCUGGGAACUGCUUUCAUAACUGCUGAGCGAGAGUAGGGUAGGGGGGAGUGGAAUUUCCUGUUUAGGGGUGAAAUGCGUAGAUAUAGGAAGGAACACCAGGGGCGAAGGCGACUACCUGGACUGAUACUGACACUGAGGUGCGAAAGCGUGGGGAGAAAACA